UCCUCGGUAGCUCAGUCGGCAGAGCGGGUGGCUGUUAACCACUAGGUCGCAGGUUCGAGUCCUGCCCGGGGAGCCA
This 76-nucleotide transfer RNA is filed under the name Dethiosulfovibrio peptidovorans. RNAcentral describes it as "tRNA-Asn". It matches the Rfam family "tRNA". From Rfam's summary of the family: Transfer RNA (tRNA) molecules are approximately 80 nucleotides in length. Their secondary structure includes four short double-helical elements and three loops (D, anti-codon, and T loops). The record is from RNAcentral. Lineage: Bacteria; Thermotogati; Synergistota; Synergistia; Synergistales; Dethiosulfovibrionaceae.